AGGGUUAGCAGGUCCUCCAUAUUCUAAUGUGCACGGAAUUCCAGGGCACUGAAUUAUAAGCUGAAAUAAGCACACAAAAGGCCGACAGGAUAAACUUCCCCUUCUCCUGAUUUCUGGGAGUCAGAAUGCUUCACCCUGUUUCUGAUAAUCUCCUUCUCAGAUUUCUGCAAUUUGCAUUUCCCAUUGUUCUACUUAUUGGGGGCUUGGAGGCAUACAGGCUUACCACGGAGCAUCCCAUACUUCCAUCUGCCUUGUGGACACCCAUUCCACAUUUCCAGGGAUUCCCUAAAGGAUGAUAUCAUGGGAAAGAGUGCAGAAUCCAGGAGCAAUGACCUCAUCUUUAUCCCAACUUUCAGUGCUGGCAGAAGAGCUUCGGGACCUCCAUGUGGCCCCACUGAAAACUGUUGCUUAUGGACUACUCUGUGAUGUCAACCUUUCACGGGAAAGACAGGCAGCUCAGGAAGCCACGUUCCAUCUUCGCCAACUACUGGGAAGCUCCAUGGACAGCUGGCAAAUGAAAUCAACUUCCAUGUUGCCUCUCCCUCUCCACCUCCUGUGCCUCCCUGUCCUCAGCUGGGGCUGUCAGGCCAAAUGGUCCCUGAGGCCUCACGCACCAUCUAUUUUCAACACACAUCACUGUUUUCCUCUGCAAAGUGGGACUUCUGUUAGGCCCUAUAGAAUCAAUACGGCAGCCCUGAGCCUAAGACACAGGCGUUCACUGCUUCCAGCAACCAGGUGUGCAAAUUAGAACAAGAAAGAUUAUUGUGCAUUUUAAAAAAAGGUCUUUCCUAGGACUUUUUUAAAAACCAGAGAACAUGCCUUAGGACAUCUAACUAUUUGUGAAGUAUUUAUUUUAGCAUGAUCUCCCUGUGAGGGGUGCAGUCAGGGUGCAUUUCACCUUUCUACCACUAGACAGCACGAAGCAAAGGUGCACUGCGGUGAGCACAAAAGAAUGAGGCUGCAGCUUAUUGGAACUUGCAGCAAAACUGGGCAGAAACUGCAGGCCUAGGGAGAGAGGCAAAAAAUCCCAUAGAAAUCUGCAAAAUCCAGGGGAGUUCCAGGCACCCUCAAAGAACCUGAGACUAGGCCAGCCACAGGAUCAGAAGGCCAGGACACAGGCCAAGCCGAAAUGGUGGGAAAGAGCAAGGCCAAUGUUAGCAAAGAAAAUCCAACUGAAAAUAAGGUAGAGAAAGAGAAGGAGAGCCGAGCUCUGGGGCCUGCUGGUAACAGAGAACAGGCAGGAAGGGAGGUCCAUGGUAACCUGCCAGAGAGCCUGGGGGACUCCCACAUGAGAACCUGUGCUCUGAGAGGGCAUGGGGAUGAGGAUUCCUGAGCAGUCAGGGGCCUCACUUCCUUUGGGGAAAACUAGGGGUGCCUUCUCCCAGGAGGGCUGUGAAGUGUUAGGCAUGUCAGCUCUUGGCAUGGGACAGAAGGGACUGCCUAUAAAUGCUGGCUUGAGGUGGAGGUGCAGGCGGUGACAGCUAAGGGGUGCGACUGACUCCCCGUGGAUCCAGAGGGGAGUGGACAGUAAGCCAUGUCAGACCACGGGACCUGGGGGCCGUGUGGACUGAGGUGGGGCCACCAACCAGCCCCAGCAACUGAGGCGAGGCCAAGAAUGGCGCUAGCUCUGCUCCACUUCCUCCAGCAGAGCAGGAUUGCUCAUUUUAAAGCUGUACCGCCCAUGUCCCAGCCACUGUUUUAGAUAUUAACAUGUUUAAUCCUCACAUCAGCCACAGGAAGUAGGUGUUGCCAUCAUCUCUACUGUACCAUUGAGAAAAGGCAGAUAGCAAUGAGGUCAUGUGCUCAAGGUCACAUACAAAGGGUCUGGCAGGGCUAGAAUUUGAACACAGUUUGGGCUGGCCCCACACCUCCCCUUAAGACCCCCUUUCAAGAUACAAACACCAUGCUGUCCACAGAAUCCCAGGCCUGGGGGUGUCUGCACCCUGUCCACCCUUGUGUCCCCCUGCAGGGGCUCCUUACCAGCCCUGCCUCAGCCCCUAUGAAGACCCAGGGGAAGCGCCAAGCCCAAAGACCCUUCUCCCAGUGACUCCCAUUCAAGACAGACCCAGCAGAGGGGCAGUGAGACCUUAAGUGGGCCCCUAUAAUAAAUUUCCAUUUAUUAAUUACAUCUGAAAAUACUGGAAGGAAAACAUGGUACUUUUUCCUUCCAUGCCAGACACAAGCGUCUUUAAGAGGUUCAGUGUACUGCAGAAGGCGAAAGUUUACUGUGCCCUUUUUACACCAGCUCAAAUGUUGCCUUUCUCCCAUAAAACAUGCACCAGACCUCACUAGCUCAAAAGGCAAAGAACAGGAUGGCUGUGGGGCAAUCAAUUUCAGUACCAUUUUGAAUUAGGUGGUUGCUGUUUUGCUGUAUGUGUGGGGACCUCAUGUUCUUUCACACUGUGUGACAUCCCAAUUGGCCUGUCCCCUGACUUCUUGUGCCCACAGGUCCUUACUGAAGUGGAUUCAGAGGAUUCUAUCAUAACCUAAGUUAGCAGGCACAUGGAGAUUGUUUGUAGCGCACCCAGCAGGAGAUGCACUCCAAGAGCGAGCUGCGGGGAGAGGAGGCGGUGGAGAAAGAGGCCUGGUCCUCAGGGAGCGAACACAGCCAGCCCCAUCAUUUUCUGAUGGCACUGGGAGGUGGGUUUGAUGAGGUACUGGGCAGGAAUGGUCACCCAGGGUGCAGGGAACCCAAGUAGAGGCUGCCGUGGAGGAACUCAUGCUGACCUGAUUUACACGGUGGGCUUCAGCUUGGUUGGUUAAAAAAAAGACACACACACGAAAACCCACAGCACAAAGCCUUCUAGCAGGAGAUAGACACAGGCUUGGAGAGGGAACACAGAUAUUGUGCGGAAGAAUCUGACCGCAUUCUGGAGAUUCUGCACACAUCUCCCAAGGAGAGGCGGCAGCACACGGCAGCAGCCGCUGGAGCUCUGCAUGGCACUCCCUGGGCUGGGCACCGCACUUGGCUCUCUAUGCAGGGCCCAAGCUGCAGUGGGUGUAGGCCACUUGCUCAGAGUCACACCAGGCCGUCUGGCUCUCGGGGCCUUGGCCCAGGCCACUGUGGCCUCCUUUGCCUGCACACUGACCGAACACUCAGACGUUAGCCACACAGGGUGCCUCCUGACUUGGGGCUGCUGUUGGAAAGUGACAGAGUAGCUCUCACCUGGGAGGAAGGCAAAACACUGACCUCUGCUCUCUGGGUAAUAAUUUAGGAAACACCAGGUGGUAAUGGCAAAGUACUGACCAACAGAUCAGACUGCUUUUCUGUUUCUUGUUUAGCCUGAUUUAUCCUCUUCCCCUUAGAAAAAACUAGCAAAAUACAAUUUGAAAAGAGCUAAUAAAGUAUCCACAUUUUAAGAAUAAAAAUGAAACAAAUGAAUAACUCAAUUGAAUUCAACAGUGAUUUUGCUUGGUAUAGUGCUAAAGGAUUUUUGGAGGAGGCAACCACAACAUUUUUCUUCUUUUUUCUUUUCUUCCUUUUUGUUUUUUUUUGAGACGGAGUCUCGCUCUGUUGCCCAGGCUGGAGUGGAAUAUCACGAUCUUGGCUCACUGCAACCUCCGCCUCCUGGGUUCAAGUUAUUCUCCUGCCUCAGCCUCCCUAGUAGCUGGGAUUACAGGCGCCCGCCACCAUGCCCGGCUAAUUUUUCUAAUUUUAGUAGAGACGGGGUUUCACCACGUUGGCCAGGCU
Molecule: long non-coding RNA, 3691 nt
Organism: Homo sapiens (human)
Lineage: Eukaryota; Metazoa; Chordata; Mammalia; Primates; Hominidae
Source: Ensembl